UACAGAGCAUGUUUAAUCCUAAGCUCCGGCAUUUAAUUUUUGUUCUAUUUUAACAGAAUUUUUCCAGUAUCAGACACAGUUUAAAUGACGCGAUUGAACGCAGUAGGCAUCGACUGGAUCUUCUUGAAGCAAAGCUGGACCAGAGUAAAACGGACUUGCAGCAGGACAUGUCCAGCAAGAUAAGUGCUCUGCAGGGAGAUUUAAGCCAAAGUAAAGCUGAUGUUGCGUCCAUUAAAAGUGGCAUCAGAGAAUUGAGAGGAAAAUACGAUAGGCUGGCUCUCGCCCUCUCGGGAUCAACACUUCUGCAAGCUUCCAUGACCACACUGCCCUUACUAUUUGUAUCAGUAUUCGCGCCACUUUUCAUGUAGGACACUUGUAAACGGGAUUUAGUGUCAUAGCCGUCAACAGAAGACCGGUUUUAUUGCGAGCCCCCACUGUAAAGUUGACUUAAGUGCAUGUUUAUUUCUUUUAAAGCUUGAUUGUGAUAGGAUACAUGCCAAAAUUCUUACUUAACCAGCUUCAGAAGACUACUGGUUUUUAGCACUAAGGGACAAGUAUAAAAGGACCUCCCACCGAUGUUUUAUAUCAUCAAGACAGUGGUGAUCUGUUUUUGUUAAGUGAACUCAGUAUCUACGUAUCUAACCUUUUAUACAGACUGUGUAUAAUUAUUAUGCCUUUUUAGUACUUUUUUUUAUUUUUCUGUUGCCAAUGAGUGUGUCGUUACAUUCAAUAGCAUUAAACUUGAUGCCGAAAGAUCGAUCAUGUUGACUAUUGUAUUGUAUUGUAUUGUAUUGUAUCGUAUUGUAUUGUAUUGUAGAAAAGUAGCUGUGUUGUACAAAAGAAGAUAUUUUUAAUGCCCUUAAAUAUGUAUUUGUGAACUGCUAUGUGCAACUUACAUGUGGCCAUCUUUGAAGGUCUUGUGAGCGCAUAAUUAAGUGUCGCUCGUUUUUGGCGCUAUUUGUUUUCCAUAUUCACUUUGCUGAAAAUCGCGUUUGGUUUUACAUGUAUUAUUCACAUAUCAGAGACUUUUAAGGUUUAUUUUGAAAAAUCAAAGUGUAAAGAUGAACAUAGAAGUGCAAUGCAAAUUUAUUUUUAUUACGCAUUUUUAACAUUAAAGCCACAAUGUGCUUUGGAAGUAUAUGUACAAUCAGCUUAUGAAGCUUUUUUUGUAUUUUUCUUACUUCAUUUAUCAAUCGUUAUUUAUUACUUUUAUAAUGUAGACUAAAUGCUCACUUUAAAAGGUGCACAUUUAUUUUAAUGGAAAUUUUCACGUUUCCAAACUGAAAGCUAACGAAACGUGUUUCGACUUUCCAUGUGGCACAAACGAUAUGAUUUUUCUGUAAAAUUGAUAUGGCUAUGAAGAAAAUGAUGUAAUUUGAGCUGACGCAGAAAAUAAUGUGUGAUUUUUUUUCAGGAAAAGACUUCCACUGAUUGAAUUAAUACUAUACCAUGUAUGAAAAACUGAAGAGUGUUAAUUACAAUGUUUUCAUUAUGGUCCCUGACAGCCAGAUAACAAAGAAAAAAUUAAAUUGUAGUGCAAAAACGUUGAAAUUUUUUUGACCCAAUUCUAUAGCGUAUAUUUACAUAUCAAAACAUUAUCCUGCUUAUCAGAUCAUAUUUCUAUCGUUUGUAUAAAAUGUUUAUACCCUCACCCAGACACCAACAAGUGGUGUUAAUGUGAUAAUGGAACACUGUACCUGUAUCUAUGUAAACUGCUAUAAACAUUUUGAAUUAAAAAAAAAACAUUUUGA
Molecule: long non-coding RNA, 1751 nt
Filed under: Lingula anatina
Lineage: Eukaryota; Metazoa; Brachiopoda; Lingulata; Lingulida; Lingulidae
Description: uncharacterized LOC106157208
Source: RNAcentral